CAGGCCUAACACAUGCAAGUCGAGCGGCAGCGCGAGUAGUUUACUACUUGGCGGCGAGCGGCGGACGGCUGAGUAACGCGUGGGAACGUGCCCCAAAGUGAGGGAUAAGCAUCGGAAACGGUGUCUAAUACCGCAUAUGAUCUUCGGAUUAAAGCUUUAUGCGCUUUGGGAGCGGCCCGCGUCUGAUUAGAUAGUUGGUGAGGUAAAGGCUCACCAAGUCGACGAUCAGUAGCUGGUCUGAGAGGAUGAUCAGCCAGACUGGAACUGAGACACGGUCCAGACUCCUACGGGAGGCAGCAGUAAGGAAUCUUCCACAAUGGGGGAAACCCUGAUGGAGCAACGCCGCGUGCAGGAUGAAGGCCUUCGGGUCGUAAACUGCUUUUAUAAGUGAAGAAUAUGACUGUAACUUAUGAAUAAGGAUCGGCUAACUACGUGCCAGCAGCCGCGGUAAU
Molecule: ribosomal RNA, 452 nt
Filed under: uncultured bacterium
Lineage: Bacteria
Description: bacterial SSU rRNA
Rfam family: Bacterial small subunit ribosomal RNA
Source: RNAcentral